CUUUUGUAAUUUUAACUAUUUUCAAACAGGUUUGUGGACCUUCAGUCGUGACCAUUGUAAAAUCCUUGGACAUGCUGGUAGAUGUCAGAAGGGUAGUCGGCUACCACAACAGACAGAGAAUGUCAUUGGUGGUAAAGUGGAUACAGGAAUGAGUGUUGAGAUCCAAGAAAACAGUGAAAUUCUUUUGCUAUUUGCUACCACCCAAACUAGAUUUAACUGAAGAAUUGAAUUUUGUGAGGUUCUGUGGACAAGAUAAACGGAACUUAGGCUACUCUGGCCUCAUCACUCAUCUCUUUACACGUGAAAAAGCCCAGUGAAGAAUGGACAGUAAAGUCACGAGAUCGCCAAGCUACUGCAACACCACAUUCAACACCGAAGAAAACAAACGGCAAUCGGAUGUUGAAAAAGAAUGAUUGCUCAUACAUGAGUUGCCGACAGAAAGAAUCAUCGUCGAGUGAAGAAAAAGGGCAGAACGCAAUAUUGGAAGUUCCAGACGAAACCGUUUUCCCCAAACUUGUGGAAGAUACCAAAAGCGGAGCUGAUUGUCUUCCUGGACGAACUUGAUGACAGCCAAUUAAAGGCCUCGUCCCAUCGAAAACGAGCAGCUGAACCGACGAGCGAGUUGUCAGAAGAAAAAAUACCGCGUGUCGAGCAAGGCAUAGACUAAUCCAAAUUGCAUCUGCCACUCCUGAUGCCACUGUCCCAGUAAUAAAGAGAAUCCUGUGAAUGCCGACGUGAACUAACAAAUCACAAUUUCUACUCACUAGUCCACCAGCGAGGAAAAAAGAAGGAAAGUCGUUGACAAAUCCUUGACGCCACCUAGGUCAACCACGGCACCACGCAAGACGAGACGCUGUUGGAGAAUGUACAGAUUGAAUGUACAGUUCGUAUACGUUAGCCGUUGCGGGGUACGGUACCUUCUUUCCUCACAUUUUUCUAUUAAAAAAGGUAACAUAGCCUUCAAUUUAUGCCUGACAAUUCCAUCUGAUCACGUGGCCUCGCUGAAACUGCUAGUACAUUUCCCCAAUAUGUUGUCUUUUACUGCACGUACCGCCUGUUCGUCUCGUCACAUGCAGCAAGCCAGCAACACUUCAGAACAGUAAAAGUAAUUAUGUUGUUCAACUUUUUAACCCUUAGGAAUACAGCCUUUUAAGGUCUGAGCCUCUCAGUCCCACAUGUACACGAAGUUGUUGCUGUUGCAGACAGCUGGCAGGUGGUUUUCUUUACUUGCAGGUUUGUUUGCUACCUGUACAGCUUGUAGCUUUCGUCACAUGCAGCAACACUUCAGAACAGUUUAAAGUAAUGAAGUUUAUCUGGUUAUACGCAUUACAGCCUCUUAAGGUCUGAGCCUCAGUCCAAUGUACACAUGGAUUUGUUGCAGCCAGCUGGUGAAAGGUUUUCUUCUUGCUGGUUUGCUUGCUACCUGUACAGUUUAUUGCUCUCAUCACAUGCAAAAACACUUCAGAACAAUUAUAAGAUUACAUCAGCCUCUUGAUCUUUCUGAAGGUCUGAGCCUCUUGAUGGCAGUCCAAUGUGCAGACGGACUUGGUACAGCUAGCUGGUGAACGGUGUGGCGAGCUGUUCAUGCAGACCCUGGUGCUGAUUAGCUGAUAUCGUGUGUAAAAUUCUGUCUACCAGGUGGCGGAGUGUCUGUUCGUGAGUGAGUGACGAAAUUCCGCCAUUUGCUUUUAAGACAAUGGAAGGGAAUGUGUUGCUGACGGUGUUUUUCGCCUCAUUUCAAACGAUUGAGGUAUAGGCCUACCGACGCCGUUCGACCAAGUUGUUUUGAAAGUGAACAACUCCAAAGCAAUUUUUCGAAGAUCUUGUCUUUCUCCACGUGGUGUCGGUGUGUCAUGAAGAUGCGUCUUCGAGAGGGUCUCUCUACUAUAUUGCAAGACAACAUUGUGAUCAACACAGGAAAUAUGAAAUGAUAAAGAUACUUGUAAGAUAAAGCAAGGGGGUUAGCAUUAUGUUCUUGAUCCUAGACAAGUGACCUAGAUGUUUCGUGCCUAAUCAGACGGUUUUUGUGGAAAGUUCUUUUUAAUCAGUUGUAAAUUUUCUUAGGAAAGAGCAGGAAUUCCCGCCAUUAUUAAAACUUGAAAUGAAGUAUUCAUGAUGUAAUUGUUGGCUAUCUUCUUGAUUGGGUUUUCUUUAGUUUAUUCUAAAUAUGAAGUAAAUCACUUACAUAACUUCUAGUUUUUAUUUUCUAUUAACAGCCUGGUGUAGUCCGAGCUUCUUCAUUGCAGUUCAAUGUGCAUAUGGAUUUGUUGCAGCCAGCUGGUGAAAGGUGUUCCUCAUGCAGGCUUGCCUGCUACCUGUUCCAUUUGUAGCUUUCAUCACAUGCAGAAACACUUCAGAACAGAACAUUUAAGGUCUUCCCAAUUUAAAGAUUACAGCCUCUUCAAGGUCUGAGCCUCUUCGUGGCAGUCCAAUGUGUACACGGAUUUGGUGCAGCCAGCUGGUUAACGGUGUGUAAAAUUAUGUCUACCAAGUGGCGGAGUGUCUGUUCGUGAGUGUGACAGUGUAGUGACGAAAUUCCGUCAUUUGAUUUUAAGACAGUGGACGGGAAUGUGUUGCAGACGGUGUUUUUCGCCUUUACAUUUUAAAACGAUUGAGGUAUUCUGACGCCAUUCGACGAAUCGAAAGUGAACAAAUCGAAAGUGAACAACUCUAAAGCAAAUGUGUCGAAGAUCUUGCCUUUCUCCACGUGGUCGCUGCUGUGUCAUUCAUGAAGAUGCGUCUUCGAGAGGGUCCCUACUAUAUUGCAAGACAACAUUGUGAUGAACACAGGAACUGUAAAUACUUCAAGAUAAAUCAAGAUUUCAUGGCCAGUUUGAUUUUGGAGCUGUUUAUGGUGUUGCUGUGUGGUGUGCAGUGGAUUCCCAGUCAGUUUCCAGCUGACAGAUGCACUUGAAUGGAGCUUGUGCAGACUCGCAGUUCAACAUUAAACCUCAAUUUCUUAUUUUCCUAUUCUUGUUGUGUUCCUGCGGUGUUGAAAAGUUGGUGAAAAUAGUCCAUGUUGCCUGAUAGCUGUCUUGAAUAUUUUAUCGGCUGCAAUUUUGUCGACAUGUUAUCGUCUGCUACCUGUACCGGCGUUGAGACAAUCGCUCGCCGCUGUUCCAUAGCUGAAACUGAGCAGAUGCUGAAAUUCAAGACUGAUAAAUAAUGUAGAUGAUUAUAAGUGCAUAUCUGUGCUCCUUCCUUUCCCCGUUUUCUUAAGUAAACAGACCCCCCCCCCUCCCCUCUAGCUGGUUAAUCACCCGCUGUGAUAAUGCCAUAAGAUGCAUGAUCUGUGGAAAACUUGGGAGGGUUAUGAGGGAAAUUACUCUAUGAUUAAUUGCUCCCUUAACAUUCGUUUCACUCUACUUUGAUUCUGCAAGUUUUGUCCUAAAAUUAAUUGCUCCCUUAACAAUUGUUUCACAACUCUUCGCUUUUCCAUUUCAGCAAACGAGUUCUCCUACAAAACCUGUUUCCUU
Molecule: long non-coding RNA, 3476 nt
Filed under: Daphnia pulex (common water flea)
Lineage: Eukaryota; Metazoa; Arthropoda; Branchiopoda; Diplostraca; Daphniidae
Description: uncharacterized LOC124192658, transcript variant X21
Source: RNAcentral